Molecule: non-coding RNA, 727 nt
Organism: Misgurnus anguillicaudatus (oriental weatherfish)
Lineage: Eukaryota; Metazoa; Chordata; Actinopteri; Cypriniformes; Cobitidae
Source: RefSeq, a predicted model, not a curated record
UUCUGUGCAUUUGUGAAUUGCUGCACUCAUUUGUGGAUCGCGUUCUGUGCAUUUGUGGAUUUGAAACAUUUCUAACGUCAAGACGUGCACAAGAAUCCACAAAUAGGUGGACUCCGCCCACCGUCUACUCCAGCCAAUCAGACAACAAGCACACUGUGCUGACCAAUCGUGGCAUGAUUUCCCUUCAACCAAUCACAGAGUCUUUUCUAGAAACAUUGUGCAAAAGACCCAGACGGAGGAGGACUUUUAUUAUGACAGCGAGUAUCGCUCACUCAAAGCAAUGGCGGAAGAGCGCUAGUUUUGUACAAGUGUCUCGCUGUGUGAGGCAUGAAUCGUGUUGUUGUGGAGACAAUAGCACCAGAUUGUUACGCGGUGUGUUCAUGUGCGUCAUUAGAGGAAACCACAUCUCCACCUGCCUAUGAUCUGGCUAAGCUCUCAAAUAUAGCCAGGCACUCAUGCAUCUUCAUUCACAUGCCAUGCAACCAAGCUCAUAAAUACAGCUCUGGUCUAUCUCUCUUAAAGGAGCAUACCCUCAUCCUGUGCAGAGCUUCAUUAAAGGACUACUACCAAUAUUCACCAUUACCUUCAUCAACGACUGCUCUGCUAUCUAAGUUGUGCCUCUCAUUCAGAGUUCUGUGCGGUGUGUGCUACCUCAUAAAUACUGAAUGCUGGCUCUCUCCCAUCUAAUGUAUGUUCUCUUGUGUGCCUAAUAAACAGCUCAAGUUGG